Molecule: ribosomal RNA, 468 nt
Filed under: uncultured bacterium
Lineage: Bacteria
Description: partial 16S ribosomal RNA
Rfam family: Bacterial small subunit ribosomal RNA
Source: RNAcentral
GACGAACGCUGGCGGCGUGCUUAACACAUGCAAGUCGAACGGAAAGGCCCUGCUUUUGUGGGGUGCUCGAGUGGCGAACGGGUGAGUAACACGUGAGUAACCUGCCCUUGACUUUGGGAUAACUUCAGGAAACUGGGGCUAAUACCGGCUAGGAGCUCCUGCUGCAUGGUGGGGGUUGGAAAGUUUCGGCGGUUGGGGAUGGACUGGCGGCUUAUCAGCUUGUUGGUGGGGUAGUGGCUUACCAAGGCUUUGACGGGUAGCCGGCCUGAGAGGGUGACCGGCCACAUUGGGACUGAGAUACGGCCCAGACUCCUACGGGAGGCAGCAGUGGGGAAUAUUGCACAAUGGGCGGAAGCCUGAUGCAGCAACGCCGCGUGCGGGAUGACGGCCUUCGGGUUGUAAACCGCUUUCGCCUGUGACGAAGCGUGAGUGACGGUAAUGGGUAAAGAAGCACCGGCUAACUACGUG